Molecule: ribosomal RNA, 223 nt
Filed under: uncultured bacterium
Lineage: Bacteria
Description: partial 16S ribosomal RNA
Rfam family: Bacterial small subunit ribosomal RNA
Source: RNAcentral
GAGUAACGCGUGGGUAUCUGCCUAUUAGUGGGGGACAACUUGGAGAAAUCCAAGCUAAUACCGCAUAAUCUCUACGGAGGAAAGCGGGGGAUCUUCGGACCUCGCGCUGAUAGAUGGGCCCGCGUCUGAUUAGCUAGUUGGUAAGGUAAUGGCUUACCAAGGCGAUGAUCAGUAACGGGUUUGAGAGGAUGAUCAGUCACACUGGAACUGAGACACGGUCCAG